Molecule: long non-coding RNA, 412 nt
Filed under: Mytilus galloprovincialis (Mediterranean mussel)
Lineage: Eukaryota; Metazoa; Mollusca; Bivalvia; Mytilida; Mytilidae
Source: RNAcentral
CUUUAAAUGUUUUAAAGGUUUCUUUUUCUUCCUUGAUAAGCUAACACUUAUUGGGUAUUAUAUAUAAUACUUAGAUUUGCUAUAAUGAUCAGCGGAUCGACUGCAUGUAGUGCUCAUUCUGAAAUCAACUUCCCAAAUUCUUGUCUGUUCUUAACCGUUAAGAUACGGAACCCAUGCAGUAAUAAUAUACAUUGUACGAUCAAUAUCAACAUGAUCAAAGUAAUAAUGUUAAAAAUUCUAGAAUCUAAACCAGCUUUGGUACAGCAAGGUAAACAAAAAGAAGAAAAGAAAACCAAAGACCAAAAUAUCUAUAAAAUAAAAAUUAAAAAAAACACAAAAAAAUUAUUGGCCUCGAGGUAUUGUUUACGUAGCAUUUAAAAAUUCAUUGUCAGUAUUUAUUAUCGGAGCAGGC